AGAGUUUGAUCAUGGCUCAGAGCGAACGCUGGCGGCAGGCUUAACACAUGCAAGUCGAGCGGGCGUAGCGAUACGUCAGCGGCAGACGGGUGAGUAACGCGUGGGAACGUACCUUUUGGUUCGGAACAACACAGGGAAACUUGUGCUAAUACCGGAUAAGCCCUUACGGGGAAAGAUUUAUCGCCGAAAGAUCGGCCCGCGUCUGAUUAGCUAGUUGGUGAGGUAAUGGCUCACCAAGGCGACGAUCAGUAGCUGGUCUGAGAGGAUGAUCAGCCACAUUGGGACUGAGACACGGCCCAAACUCCUACGGGAGGCAGCAGUGGGGAAUAUUGGACAAUGGGCGCAAGCCUGAUCCAGCCAUGCCGCGUGAGUGAUGAAGGCCCUAGGGUUGUAAAGCUCUUUUGUGCGGGAAGAUAAUGACGGUACCGCAAGAAUAAGCCCCGGCUAACUUCGUGCCAGCAGCCGCGGUAAUACGAAGGGGGCUAGCGUUGCUCGGAAUCACUGGGCGUAAAGGGUGCGUAGGCGGGUCUUUAAGUCAGGGGUGAAAUCCUGGAGCUCAACUCCAGAACUGCCUUUGAUACUGAGGAUCUUGAGUUCGGGAGAGGUGAGUGGAACUGCGAGUGUAGAGGUGAAAUUCGUAGAUAUUCGCAAGAACACCAGUGGCGAAGGCGGCUCACUGGCCCGAUACUGACGCUGAGGCACGAAAGCGUGGGGAGCAAACAGGAUUAGAUACCCCAGUAGUCC
RNAcentral lists this ribosomal RNA (744 nucleotides) under uncultured bacterium. Its description in RNAcentral is "bacterial SSU rRNA". It matches the Rfam family "Bacterial small subunit ribosomal RNA", at positions 8 to 796 of the family's 1533-position model. The record is from RNAcentral.